GAAAGGAUUGUGUAGUGUAAAUGCAAUCCCUCCCAAAUCGGACGGAUUGGGAAGGAAAGGAAAGGGAGAGAGGAGCAAAAGUGUUGACUGCCCACAAUACCCCUUCCUUCACGUUCUUAAUUUUUUAAACAUUUUGACUGUUAGGGGUAUUUAGUAGCAGCCAUUCGAUUUAAUCAGCAAACAGUGCUGCAGAGACAAGCCGAAGCGUUGUUCUCGCUGGUGACCCUGGUAAAACAUCGGCAGCUCUCUUCGUCUCUCAUUGCAGUGGGCCACUGAGGAAGGAGCAGCCAUUCGAUUUAAUCAGCAAACAGCGCUGCAGAGACAAGCCAAAGCGUUGUUCUCGCUGGUGACCCUGGUAAAACAUCGGCAGCUCUCUUCGUCUCUCGUUGCAGUGGGCCACUGAGGAAGGAGUAUUUAGGGCUCCAGCACGAGGUCGUUCCUGGCGUCGUCGUCAUCAGGGAGAAUACUGAGGGAGAGUAUUUAGGGCUCGAGCACGAGGUCGUUCCUGGCGUCGUCGAGAGCCUCAAGGUCUGUCCAUUUUCUCCUUGUUAGAUUUUGUCAUUUUAAUAUGAGUCAAUCGCAAUUGUGGGGCUUAUAGUUUGUUUGAGCUGAUGUUGUUGCUUCUAACUGUGGUUAUUUGUGCUUUCGUUUAUCUUCCCUAUAUUUAACUGUAUUUUUCACGUUGAUUUUGUCAUUUUUCUAAUUAAUUUCAACAUUUAGAUGGUACUCGACUUUUCUUGGUUUUUUUGGUUCUUUCUUUGUGUAGUUGUGUAUUUAUAGUUGUGAAUAUUUGGUGCCAUUCAAUCGAGUAUUCCUUGGAGUUUACUUUCUAAAGAUUUUGUAGGUUCAAACAACGUCGUUUGUUUGAUAUAUAGCUAUGUGGUUAACAGGAAAUUGAUGCCUCAUGAAGGUCCAGUGCUUCUGUUUGGCAACAGUUAUUUGUCAAUUGAACGAGUUGUUUCUGUUUGCAUGAUUGUCUGUAAUGAGGUCAAUUCUAAAUGAAAUUGGGGAACAAAUUUUUGUUCUGAGAAUUGGGAUUGAUUCUAUUUGAACAUGCUAUUUAUGCUAGCCGAUGAUUACUUAUGAUCUUAUUAUGGGAACAUACAGUUUUGCUGACGUUUGUUUUGUGAUGAAACUGGCUUUUUUGAAUAAGCUAUCAGCCUAUCCCGCUUAACGUUUUGUUCCACGGUGAUCCUUAGCAGAUUUUUUGGUUUUUUGGGGCAUAAAUAACAAUUCAUGCUAUUUAGUUCCCUAUAUGCAGUUAUUACUAUUGACAAGGAGAACUAUGUCCCCACAAGCAUCGAGGUGAUAUUCUUUUGAUAUGCAGUUCUCUGGGAGCUGUUGCUUCUAACACUUCUAGCUAUUUUGGCUUCAUUUAGAAUAUAGUUCUCUAAGUGUGGUCUUUAACAGUGCUCCUGUUGUGUUUAAAAUGUAUUUUCAGGUUUCUGCUGAUGUCAGAGAGGUUCUGGAUACUUUCCGUGUUGCACUUGAGUUGCAGAUUUUAACAGCAAUAGGUUGAGCAAGCCUGGAUUAUUUGGAUGUUAUAAGAAACCUUUGGGAUUUGCAAUUUAGUUGUACUAGACAACAAACAACAACCUUCACGUUUGACAGUGGCAGCUCGUUAUUAUAUGGUUCCUUUUCUGAAAAGGAUGGCAGCUACAUAGUAUUUUUCAGGACUUAGAUUUGUAUUUAUAAGGGCUGGAGGAACUAUUCAGAAAAUGAGAAAGUUGCAGGCAUGAAAAAUACUAGAUUGGAUUGCUUUUGUUAUUGCAGGAAUCAUGGUAUGAUGCUUUUCAAGAUUUUGAUAAUAUUGUGUUAAAAACUUAAAAUAUUGUAAAAUUUGAUAAGUUACUUUCGUGAGGAUUCUUUAAAACUUAAUUUCUUGUGUAUUCUUA
Long non-coding RNA from Nymphaea colorata (pocket water lily), 1895 nucleotides. RefSeq lists it as uncharacterized. NCBI's taxonomy places the organism in Eukaryota, Viridiplantae, Streptophyta, Magnoliopsida, Nymphaeales, Nymphaeaceae. The record is from RefSeq and is a predicted model, not a curated record. The transcript has 4 exons.